UACGGAGGAUGCGAGCGUUAUCCGGAUUUAUUGGGUUUAAAGGGUGCGUAGGCGGGCUUUUAAGUCAGCGGUAAAAAUUCGGGGCUCAACCCCGUCCGGCCGUUGAAACUGGGGGUCUUGAGUGGGCGAGAAGAAGGCGGAAUGCGUGGUGUAGCGGUGAAAUGCAUAGAUAUCACGCAGAACCCCGAGUGCGAAGGCAGCCUUCCGGCGCCCUACUGACGCUGAGGCACGAAAGUGCGGGGAUCGAACAGG
This 252-nucleotide ribosomal RNA is filed under the name uncultured bacterium. RNAcentral describes it as "partial 16S ribosomal RNA". It matches the Rfam family "Bacterial small subunit ribosomal RNA", at positions 524 to 776 of the family's 1533-position model. The record is from RNAcentral.